AAGAAUAUUCGAUGCAGGGGUGCCCGAGCAUGAGCAAGGGCUUAAAUCAGAAAGCAAGACCGGUGGAAAUCCGGCACAGUCCCGCCUACUGUGAAAGUCAGAACGCUGGCCCCUGGUAAGAAGCCCAG
RNAcentral lists this non-coding RNA (128 nucleotides) under Chloroflexota bacterium. Lineage: Bacteria; Bacillati; Chloroflexota. The record is from RNAcentral.